Chrysemys picta bellii (western painted turtle) is the source of this 511-nucleotide non-coding RNA. The record is from RefSeq and is a predicted model, not a curated record. NCBI's taxonomy places the organism in Eukaryota, Metazoa, Chordata, Testudines, Emydidae.
CUGGUCCUAAGAGCGACGCGUCCCCCGGGUCUUAGCGCCCGCCGCGCCACCGCCCGUCCACCCGGCCGGCUCAGCCCUUCUGCCUCCGCCGGCGGCAGCAGCCACCGCAGCCGCUUGCCUCAAGCUCAAGAUUUCUUUGCUUCCUUGCACAAAAAUGACUUUCUGAUGAAGACGCAAAGGGAAGCAAGAGCGGUCAUGCAUCCCUCUCCAGCAAAGCGGGCACCUUGUUUUGAACACCCGGAGCAGCCAGUGGAGAGUGGUGAGAGUGAAAACCACAAGAGGGGAUGGGAACUAGGACUUGGUGCACGGGAGGAAAUGCAGAUGAAGAGAGGAGAGAAACAGAGAAGAGGAUGGAGAUGGAAGAGAAACAUAGGACAGAAAUAGCAGUAGUGCUAAAGGUGAGACUAUUGUCCCACUGAGUGAUACAGAAUGCAACUUAAAUAGUAGUAAUAUUGAUGACAACUAAAAGUUUAGUUAUUACUUACAGGCCAUAUCCCAGGGUGGAUAAAAA